This 449-nucleotide ribosomal RNA is filed under the name uncultured bacterium. RNAcentral describes it as "bacterial SSU rRNA". It matches the Rfam family "Bacterial small subunit ribosomal RNA", at positions 354 to 796 of the family's 1533-position model. The record is from RNAcentral.
GUCGAGAAUCUUCCGCAAUGGACGCAAGUCUGACGGAGCGACGCCGCGUGCGGGAUGAAGGUCUUUGGAUUGUAAACCGCUGUCACGCGUUAUGAAUGCGCACGACCCAACACGUCGUGCGUUGACAAAGGCGCGAGAGGAAGCCACGGCUAACUCUGUGCCAGCAGCCGCGGUAAUACAGAGGUGGCAAGCGUUGCUCGGUGUCACUGGGCUUAAAGGGUGCGUAGGCGGCAUGGUACGGCUCGGGUGAAAUCCCUCGGCCCAACCGAGGAAUUGCAAGGGCGACGGCCAUGCUUGGCUGCAUCAGGGGAAGAUGGAACUCCCGGUGGAGCGGUGAAAUGCGUAGAUAUCGGGAGGAACGCCGGUGGCGAAAGCGAUCUUCUGGGGUGCAAGCGACGCUGAGGCACGAAAGCUAGGGGAGCAAACGGGAUUAGAAACCCCGGUAGUCC